CGAGCGGUAUUUGUUCUUCGGRCAGAGAGAGCGGCGUACGGGUGCGGAACACGUGUGCAACCUACCUUUAUCAGGGGGAUAGCCUUUCGAAAGGAAGAUUAAUACCCCAUAAUAUAUUGAUUGGCAUCAGUUAAUAUUGAAAACUCCGGUGGAUAGAGAUGGGCACGCGCAAGAUUAGAUAGUUGGUAGGGUAACGGCCUACCAAGUCAGUGAUCUUUAGGGGGCCUGAGAGGGUGAUCCCCCACACUGGUACUGAGACACGGACCAGACUCCUACGGGAGGCAGCAGUGAGGAAUAUUGGACAAUGGGUGAGAGCCUGAUCCAGCCAUCCCGCGUGAAGGACGACGGCCCUAUGGGUUGUAAACUUCUUUUGUAUAGGGAUAAACCUUUCCACGUGUGGAAAGCUGAAGGUACUAUACGAAUAAGCACCGGCUAACUCCGUGCCAGCAGCCGCGGUAAUACGGAGGGUGCAAGCGUUAUCCGGAUUUAUUGGGUUUAAAGGGUCCGUAGGCGGAUCUGUAAGUCAGUGGUGAAAUCUCAUAGCUUAACUAUGAAACUGCCAUUGAUACUGCAGGUCUUGAGUAAAGUAGAAGUGGCUGGAAUAAGUAGUGUAGCGGUGAAAUGCAUAGAUAUUACUUAGAACACCAAUUGCGAAGGCAGGUCACUAUGUUUUAACUGACGCUGAUGGACGAAAGCGUGGGGAGCGAACAGGAUUAGAUACCCUGGUAGUCCACGCCGUAAACGAUGCUAACUCGUUUUUGGGCUUUAGGGUUCAGAGACUAAGCGAAGUGAUAAGUUAGCCACCUGGGGAGUACGUUCGCAAGAAUGAAACUCAAAGGAAUUGACGGGGGCCCGCACAAGCGGUGGAUUAUGUGGUUUAAUUCGAUGAUACGCGAGGAACCUUACCAAGGCUUAAAUGGGAAUUGACAGGUUUAGAAAUAGACUUUUCUUCGGACAAUUUUCAAGGUGCUGCAUGGUUGUCGUCAGCUCGUGCCGUGAGGUGUUAGGUUAAGUCCUGCAACGAGCGCAACCCCUGUCACUAGUUGCCAUCAUUCAGUUGGGGACUCUAGUGAGACUGCCUACGCAAGUAGAGAGGAAGGUGGGGAUGACGUCAAAUCAUCACGGCCCUUACGCCUUGGGCCACACACGUAAUACAAUGGCCAGUACAGAGGGCAGCUACCAGGCGACUGGAUGCGAAUCUCGAAAGCUGGUCUCAGUUCGGAUUGGAGUCUGCAACUCGACUCUAUGAAGCUGGAAUCGCUAGUAAUCGCAUAUCAGCCAUGAUGCGGUGAAUACGUUCCCGGGCCUUGUACACACCGCCCGUCAAGCCAUGGAAGUUUGGGGUACCUGAAGUCGGUGACC
This 1362-nucleotide ribosomal RNA is filed under the name Chryseobacterium sp. 10C. Its description in RNAcentral is "16S ribosomal RNA". It matches the Rfam family "Bacterial small subunit ribosomal RNA", at positions 63 to 1435 of the family's 1533-position model. The record is from RNAcentral. Lineage: Bacteria; Pseudomonadati; Bacteroidota; Flavobacteriia; Flavobacteriales; Weeksellaceae.